AUUGAACGCUGGCGGCAGGCCUAACACAUGCAAGUCGAGCGGAGCGGCGGACGGGCGAGUAAGGCCUAGGUAUCUGCCUGGUAGUGGGGGAGAGCGUCCGGCAUAGGGCGCUAUUUACUCAUACUCUCUGUUGAGUCUAGGUCGGAGUAGCUAGGUGGUGGGGUAAGGGCCUACCAAGGCGACGAUCCGUACCUGGUCUGAGAGGAUGAUCAGUCACACUGGAACUGAGACACGGUCCAGACUCCGACGGGAGGCAGCAGUGGGGAAUAUUGGACAAUGGGCGAAAGCCUGAUCCAGCCAUGCCGCGUGUGUGAAGAAGGUCUUCGGAUUGUAAAGCACUUUAAGUUGGGAGGCGUUACCAACAGAAUAAGCACCGGCUAACUUCGUGCCAGCCGCCGCGGUAAUUC
This 407-nucleotide ribosomal RNA is filed under the name uncultured bacterium. RNAcentral describes it as "partial 16S ribosomal RNA". It matches the Rfam family "Bacterial small subunit ribosomal RNA", at positions 30 to 526 of the family's 1533-position model. The record is from RNAcentral.